Molecule: ribosomal RNA, 450 nt
Filed under: uncultured bacterium
Lineage: Bacteria
Description: bacterial SSU rRNA
Rfam family: Bacterial small subunit ribosomal RNA
Source: RNAcentral
AACGAACGCUGGCGGCAUGCCUAACACAUGCAAGUCGAACGAGACCUUCGGGUCUAGUGGCGCACGGGUGCGUAACGCGUGGGAAUCUGCCCUUGGGUUCGGAAUAACAGUUAGAAAUGACUGCUAAUACCGAAUGAUGUCUUCGGACCAAAGAUUUAUCGCCCAAGGAUGAGCCCGCGUCGGAUUAGCUAGUUGGUGGGGUAAAAGCCUACCAAGGCGACGAUCUUUAGCUGGUCUGAGAGGAUGAUCAGCCACACUGGGACUGAGACACGGCCCAGACUCCUACGGGAGGCAGCAGUGGGGAAUAUUGGACAAUGGGCGAAAGCCUGAUCCAGCAAUGCCGCGUGAGUGAUGAAGGCCCUAGGGUUGUAAAGCUCUUUUACCAGGGAUGAUAAUGACAGUACCUGGAGAAUAAGCUCCGGCUAACUCCGUGCCAGCAGCCGCGGUAAU